Molecule: ribosomal RNA, 468 nt
Filed under: uncultured bacterium
Lineage: Bacteria
Description: partial 16S ribosomal RNA
Rfam family: Bacterial small subunit ribosomal RNA
Source: RNAcentral
GACGAACGCUGGCGGCGUGCUUAACACAUGCAAGUCGAACGGAAAGGCCCUGCUUUUGUGGGGUGCUCGAGUGGCGAACGGGUGAGUAACACGUGAGUAACCUGCCCUUGACUUUGGGAUAACUUCAGGAAACUGGGGCUAAUACCGGAUAGGAUCUCCUGCUGCAUGGUGGGGGUUGGAAAGUUUCGGCGGUUGGGGAUGGACUCGCGGCUUAUCAGCUUGUUGGUGGGGUAGUGGCUUACCAAGGCUUUGACGGGUAGCCGGCCUGAGAGGGUGACCGGCCACAUUGGGACUGAGAGACGGCCCAGACUCCUACGGGAGGCAGCAGUGGGGAAUAUUGCACAAUGGGCGGAAGCCUGAUGCAGCAACGCCGCGUGCGGGAUGACGGCCUUCGGGUUGUAAACCGCUUUCGCCUGUGACGAAGCGUGAGUGACGGUAAUGGGUAAAGAAGCACCGGCUAACUACGUG